Molecule: ribosomal RNA, 253 nt
Filed under: uncultured bacterium
Lineage: Bacteria
Description: partial 16S ribosomal RNA
Rfam family: Bacterial small subunit ribosomal RNA
Source: RNAcentral
UACGGAGGGGGCUAGCGUUGUUCGGAAUUACUGGGCGUAAAGCGCACGUAGGCGGACUCUUAAGUCAGGGGUGAAAUCCUGGAGCUCAACUCCAGAACUGCCUUUGAUACUGGGAGUCUUGAGUUCGGGAGAGGUGAGUGGAACUGCGAGUGUAGAGGUGAAAUUCGUAGAUAUUCGCAAGAACACCAGUGGCGAAGGCGGCUCACUGGCCCGAUACUGACGCUGAGGUGCGAAAGCGUGGGGAGCAAACAGG